UNAAAUGAACGUUUAGAACGAACGAUUCAUUACAAAUUCUGUUUUUUACGGUUAUUUGGAUUUAUGUUUAAAGUAUUUAUGUAGAAUGAGCUUCACUCAAUUGUUGUAAUUCGUUUUACAAACAAUGCAACUAUGUGAGAUUGUAGAUUCUUUAUUUACUUGAUCCUGCUCCUAUGUAUUUUUCUUAAUAUUUCAAAUGUCUUUUGAAAUUGGCAAUCCAGUAUUUUCAGCUUAAUUUCUGUAACAUAAUAUCAAAAGAUUAUUAAUAUUUUAUAAUUAUGAUGAAAGUCUUUUAUUUCAAUUAGAAAUAUAAAUGAUCGGUAGUGCCUGGAUUUACAUGUUUUUUUUUUUUUUUUUUUUUUUUUUUUUGACAGUCCAAUUAUAGUUUCUAGAUAAGCUACAAGUUUUAAUUAUAGUAAAUUAGACUGUAAUAUAAAGUUUAUUUUUGUAUAUUUUACUUUUUUUUGACGUCUACUGCAUAUUUCUGUAUUUAGCGAUUUUUCGUACAAUUACUGCAGACCCUGGCAACUUAUUAUCAGCCCCUUGAGUACGUUUUUCAACUUAAUAAAAUAAUCAAAUAGUAUCGUGUGUGUGUUAGAUUCGAUUAGUCACUUCUCCAGUUGUUCACUUACCCAUUACACUUGACCUUAGACAACCAGGUUAAGUCCUGAUAACCUAGAUCAACUCUAUUAGUAAUUAGUAAUAAUGUAAUUAAUUAAUAUAUAAUAUUUACAUUUUGUAAUGUAUAAAAAUUAUUUUAUUUAACCUUUUUCUCCCUAUAAUACAUACUAUCUCCAACAUUAUUUCUGUUAAUGCAUAUUUACAGACUUAAAUAAAUUAAAUAUAAGUUUGCCGAUAUUGUUUUAUUCUAAAAUGUAAAGCAUAUUUCUGUAAUUUUGUUAGUUUUAAAUAUAUACAAAUUAUGUUUUUAAAUUGCACAAAUAAAUAGUAUAAACUCAAGUAAUUCAAAAUAUUGGCUCAAGAAGUUUUGUUUUAAUAAUUAUAAACUCUAUUGUAACAGAACAUUAUAGAAUAAAUUAUAUAAUUUUAAUAAAAUAAUACAAUAUUGCACUAUGCUUUUAAAGCGGAAGUUGUGCUGGGAAAGAGAGUUCUUCUUAUCAAUUAAUAAUGCAUAAAUAUAUUUAAAAACUGAUCAUUUGUGCCCGGAUUAAUCUUGUCUAAAAACCUUAGAGAUAUGCAUUUGUGAUGAUUUUUUGUAAAAAUAUACCCCUUAAAAAAAAAAACUUAUGCACAAAUAAAAAUUGAUUUUGAAGUAGAUACAAAAGAUUGAUUUGUAUUGAAUUUAUGCCUUUUCUCAAAGUGAAGAGCUUUACAUAAAUUCUUUUCAAUAGAACGGCGUAUAACAAAAUUGUAUUAAAAAAAAAUUCUGUAUUUUCAUUUUAUUUAUAUUAUGAUAAAACUAAUAUAAAUAUAACCAAAAUAUUAUAUAAUGUGCAUUCAAAAUCUAUUUGUAUGCAAUGAAAAAUCGUAAAAUAUGCAAAAUAAAACUUUAUAUUUCAGUUCUAUUGACUAUAAUUUAAACUUGUAGCUUAUCUUUUGUUGCUUUUUGGACUGUCAAAGAAAACAAAAACACAAAUGCAUAUCAUUCCAGGUUCUAAUGAUGAUAAAAAAAAGGUAAUAAAAAUAUAUUUAUUGCCAUAGUGGCCUUUUUCGGAUUUUGGUUUUCUAUAGGUGGCAAUAGUGGCAUAUUGCGUUCUUAUUGGUCGUGUGAUAUAAUCCCUUGGUUUCAAUUCGGCUUUUUUUCGGUAACUGUUGUUUCCAUUGUUGUAAUACGUCUGAUGCACACGAUCGGGUAUGUCAAUUUGUUCGUGUACUAUACGAACAAAUUGACAUACCCGAUUAGUGUUGGUUCAUUUACAUAAUUAUUUCUAGUUUUAGAAAUUGAUCACAUACUUUGUACCUAAUCGCCAACCGAACAAUUAUCACUGAAAUGUCUUCAAAGAGUACAGGCGGAUCGUCUUGUAACGACGAGUCACGUGUGUUAGUUGUACUUCCCGGACUUACAAAAAAUCAAAUCAAAUCAAAUCUUAGAAAAACAAGUGAGUACGCCAUUAUAAAUAACUAAUAAACGCUACCUAGGUAAAUAAUUAGCAAUAAGUGCAUUUAAUACAAAUUAAUAUUUACAAGAUAAAUAUAGAGACAGGGUAUCCCACGGCAAUAUGUACCCGUUGUAAUAUCUCCGGAGAUAAUAAACAUUAUAAAAGUCUGGUAUUUUUAUAUUUCUCACUGGGAUACAAAUAUUUGUAUUGCAAUUAAUUUCGUAAGUUAUGAAUAAAAAUUAAAAGAAAAAAAAAACAAUGUUUUAUUAUUAUUGGAUAAUUUGAACAUAGUAAUUUCAUAGAAUUUAUUCUUCUGAAAAUGUUGGAAAUUUGUUUUAAAUAAAUUCGUGAUAUAUUAUAAUUUUUUGAGUUCAGAGAAAAGAAAUGUACGAUAAGUCGAUAAAGCGUAAAUAAUAAUAGUAAUCAAUUGGAGAAUACGAUAACCGUCUGUUGUAUGAUUAUAGGUACGUUUUUUUUUUAACUUUAAAAAAUCAUAGAAAAUCACCAAUUUAACAAAAAUAAAAAGUUCAUUCAUCGAAAUUGUCAAAAAAAAUAUUAAUGUAAAAUGCCCUUCUCCAAAUUUUCAAAAAAAAUAAAAUGGAAAGUUAUUUUUUCUCAAGUGUUUUAUCAAAGAAAACAAAAUUAAAUGCAAUACAAAUAUUUGUAGUCUUUAUCCUUGUAAGUAAUAUAAAAAACAGAAUGUGAUUAUCUUUAUUAAAUCCGGAGAUUUCCAUCAAUGGGUAUUUCUUCACAGGAUAUCCUGUACUAUAUGCAAUAUAUUUAAUAGAUAAACAAUAAUUAAUAAUAUAUAAUAGACCUUGUUUUUCUAGACAUUAUGAUAUGCAUAACACUAAUAUCAGAUUUACCUUAUAAAAUUUGGGCUGGAAGAGUAAUGGAGAGUUAUAUUUAUGCAAUUUAAUACCCUUCCUUACUCCUCCAGUCUAAACUUUAAAGGGUAAAUCUGAUAUUAAUGUUGUGCAUAUCGAAAUGUCUAGGAAAAUUGUCCACUUAAAUAUGUGUUCGGAAAAAGGGGUUCUUAUUUGUAAAAUAAAAGUAUACGCUUAUUUAGGGUAUGUAGAAAAGGGGUAAAAAUUAGUUUUAAAUUAGAGCUAACCCGAUUUCAUAAUGAUAAAAACAAUAAAAAAAUAGAGGAUUGAAAAUUGUUAGUUCGUGAUGAAAAAAUCAUUCCGUAUAUUAGCUUUUAUAUUUUAUAAUGAACCGAUAUCCAUCACUUUUAUUUAUUUUCCAAUUAUAGUCAGGCAUUGAAUGUCAAAAAUACUAAAUAAUUAAUAUCAAGGGUCCACUCAUCAAUCUACUGCAGUCCCUGGCAGCUUAUUAUCAGCCCCUUGAGUACUUUUUUCAACUUAAUAAAAUAAUCAAAUAGUAUCGUGUGUGUGUUAGAUUCGACUAGUCACUUCUUCUCCAAUUAGUCACUUACCCAUUACACUUGACCUUAGACAACCAGGUUGGGUCCCGAUAACCUAGACCAACUCUAUUAGAAAUUAGUAAUAAUGCAAUUAAUUUUUAUAUAAUAUUUACAUUCUGUAUUAUGCAACACAUACUUUAUUUAACCUUUUUUUCUCUUUUCUCACUAUUAUUCAUACUAUGUCUAACAUUAUUUCUGUUUAUGGAUAUUUGCAGGCUUAAAUAAAUUGAAUCAAUUUUAGUAGCAAUAUUGCCGUGUUUGAUUGAACACCGAAAAACAUAAGUCUGCCAAUAUUGUGUUAUUCUAAAAUUUAGAAUACUUUAUAGAUAUAAAUAUGUAGUUUCAAAAUAUGCACAACUAACUUACAAAAUAUACGACACUUGCAGUAUUUGGGCGAGUUUAUUAUUUUAAUAGGGAUUGAAAUACAAUGCGAAAUUAAAUAUUUUUCUUUUGUGAUCUAUAACAAUGCUUUACUUGUUCAUAAUUUAAUUCGUAAAACUUUUUAGUGCAUUUUCCAUUAUUGUUAUUUGUCAUAUCCGUCCAGGCCCUACUGAUCUUUUUUAUUCAUAAUUAAAAUAGCAGACUUCCAUCAUAACUUUUAUAUAUUAAUAAUCUUUUGAUAUUAUGUUACAGAAAUUAAGCUGAAAAUACUGGAUUGCCAAUUUCAAAAGACAUUUGAAAUAUUAAGAAAAAUACAUAGGAGCAGGAUCAAGUAAAUAAAGAAUCUACAAUCUCACACAGUUGCAUUGUUUGUAAAACGAAUUACAACAAUUGAGUGAAGAUCAUUCUACAUAAAUAUUUCAAACACAAAUCCAAAUAACCGUAAAGAAACGGUAUUUUUAAUGAAUCUUCCUUUCUAAGCAUUCAUUUAAACCAACAUCUACUCAAGCCAUGUAGAUUAUCAGAGCACCAUAAAACCAGUAGCCAAUCAAUCGGCACUUAGAAAUAAUUAAUCCAAUGGAAGUCCUACGAAAUGUAAAUCGUUAAAAUGCACAAGUUGUAUAUAUGAAACUAAAUCCGAAGAAAAAUUUUUAUGUCACCUUACUGUUUGUAUUAAUUUAAUUGAUAGUAUUACUGACAAUCAUCCUAAUGAAUGCAAUAUAUGUUUAAAAAAAAUUUUAUAUAGAAGUUAAUUAAAGAAAUAAACGAGAUAUCAUAGGUUCAAGUCAAUCAUAGAAAUAUUGUUAAAAAUACACCUCCAAAUCAAACAAACCUAUUAACCACGCAAUCGGUGAAGAUUAAAAUCAUUUAGAAACAAAUUAGCAAAUACUAAGAAUACUGCACAAAAUUGAUUGAUAAAGUUGAAACGAGUAUAUUGCAAAACCUCUUGCAAAUCCGAAAGAGCACAAAUAAGACAUCAAAUCGGAGAAGAGCAGAAAAGAAUUCUUUAAAAUUGCCAGCUACUAAAUGCCAAUGGUGUGGUACGUUAUAUUCAAAACGUAAUUUGUUAGUCAUAUAAAUCCAAGGAUCUUCAAGUAAAGCCGUUUAAAUGUGCACAUUGUUCAAUGGAUUUCAAAUAUUUAUCCUCACAGAAAGAACAUAUUUUGGAAUGUCAUACUACAAAUGAAAAAUAAUGUUUAUACUCAAGAAUGUAAGAUAUUAAUAUUUUAAGUCUAUUUUAUAUAUAUUUUUUUUUUCUCUUAAGUUUUUUAGGUUAUCAAGUUCCGGUUUCUAAUUUUAUUUAAUAAAACUAAAAUAGUUACACAAUAAAUUAUUGGGGUCUGACCACACACGAUUUUCUAAUAUGCAUAUGUAUGUAAUUUGUAAUAUAACUUACAAAUAUUUAAAUUUCAUAGCACAAAGUGUCAAUUUAAACGUUUUUACUUGAGGAUGCUUGGAAUUAUAAGACUUAGCAAAUUACUUUUUGUAUUUAAUGUAUCACACUAUUGACAUUUAGUAGCUAGCAACUUUAAAGAGUUCUUUUGUCUUCUUCUUUAAUUUGGAUUGUGAGAUUUGAUUUGUUUUAUUUUAGCUCGUCCAGAUCUGCAAGAUACUUUGCAAUAUGCACAUUUCAAUUGUAUCAAUCUAAUUUGUGCAGUAUUCUUAGUAUUUGCGAGUUUGGUUCUAAAUGAAUUUAAUAUUCACCGAUUGCGUGGUAAAUUAGUAUGGUUAGGUGGUGUGUUUUUAAAAAUUUUUCUACAAUCGACUUGAACCUAUGAUAUCUCCUAUGUUUCUUUAAUUACCUUGUACAUAAAAAUUUUUUCAAACAAACAUUGCAUUUGUUAGGAUCAUUGUCAGUAAUAUUCUCAAUUAAACCAUUACAAACAGUAAGGUGAUAUAAAAAUAUUUCUUCGUACUUAGUUUCAUAUGUACAAUUUGUACAUUUUAACGAAUUAGAUUUUGUAGGACUUGCAUUUGAAUAAUUAUUUCUAGGUGCCGAUUGAAUGGCUACUGGUUUUAUGGGUCUCUUAUAAUCUACAUGACUUGAGUAGAUGUUGGUUUAAAUGAACGUUUAGAACGAACGAUUCAUUACAAAUUCUGUUUUUUACGGUUAUUUGGAUUUAUGUUUAAAGUAUUUAUGUAGAAUGAGCUUCACUCAAUUGUUGUAAUUCGUUUUACAAACAAUGCAACUAUGUGAGAUUGUAGAUUCUUUAUUUACUUGAUCCUGCUCCUAUGUAUUUUUCUUAAUAUUUCAAAUGUCUUUUGAAAUUGGCAAUCCAGUAUUUUCAGCUUAAUUUCUGUAACAUAAUAUCAAAAGAUUAUUAAUAUUUUAUAAUUAUGAUGAAAGUCUUUUAUUUCAAUUAGAAAUAUAAAUGAUCGGUAGUGCCUGGAUUUACAUGUUUUUUUUUUUUUUUUUUUUUUUUUUUUUUUGACAGUCCAAUUAUAGUUUCUANUUAUUUAACCUUUUUCUCCCUAUAAUACAUACUAUCUCCAACAUUAUUUCUGUUAAUGCAUAUUUACAGACUUAAAUAAAUUAAAUAUAAGUUUGCCGAUAUUGUUUUAUUCUAAAAUGUAAAGCAUAUUUCUGUAAUUUUGUUAGUUUUAAAUAUAUACAAAUUAUGUUUUUAAAUUGCACAAAUAAAUAGUAUAAACUCAAGUAAUUCAAAAUAUUGGCUCAAGAAGUUUUGUUUUAAUAAUUAUAAACUCUAUUGUAACAGAACAUUAUAGAAUAAAUUAUAUAAUUUUAAUAAAAUAAUACAAUAUUGCACUAUGCUUUUAAAGCGGAAGUUGUGCUGGGAAAGAGAGUUCUUCUUAUCAAUUAAUAAUGCAUAAAUAUAUUUAAAAACUGAUCAUUUGUGCCCGGAUUAAUCUUGUCUAAAAACCUUAGAGAUAUGCAUUUGUGAUGAUUUUUUGUAAAAAUAUACCCCUUAAAAAAAAAAACUUAUGCACAAAUAAUAAUUGAUUUUGAAGUAGAUACAAAAGAUUGAUUUGUAUUGAAUUUAUGCCUUUUCUCAAAGUGAAGAGCUUUACAUAAAUUCUUUUCAAUAGAACGGCGUAUAACAAAAUUGUAUUAAAAAAAAAUUCUGUAUUUUCAUUUUAUUUAUAUUAUGAUAAAACUAAUAUAAAUAUAACCAAAAUAUUAUAUAAUGUGCAUUCAAAAUCUAUUUGUAUGCAAUGAAAAAUCGUAAAAUAUGCAAAAUAAAACUUUAUAUUUCAGUUCUAUUGACUAUAAUUUAAACUUGUAGCUUAUCUUUUGUUGCUUUUUGGACUGUCAAAGAAAACAAAAACACAAAUGCAUAUCAUUCCAGGUUCUAAUGAUAAUAAAAAAAAAUCAGUAAUAUUACAUUUAUAAUGAAAUGUAAUAAAAAUAUAUUUAUUGUCAUAGUGGCCUUUUUCAGAUAUUAUGUUACAGAAAUGAAGCUGAAAAUAUUUGAGUGCUAAGUUGAAUAGACAUUUGUUAUAUCAGAAAAGAAACACAGGAACCAGUUCAUAUAAAAGAAUAAUUUACAGUGUUUGUGAAAAGCUAUUGAGAUAUCAUAGGUUCAAGUCAAUCAUAAAAACAUUGUUAAAAACACACCACCAAACCAAACUAAUUUACCACGCAAUCAUUGAAGAUUAAAAUCACAUAGAACCAAACUUGCAAAUACUAAGAAUACUGCACAAAUUAGAUUGAUAUAAUUGAAAUGUGCAUAUUGCAAAACCCCUUGCAAGUCCGAAUGAGCUCAUAAAAAAACCCAUCAAAUCUCAUCAUCCAAAUCAAAGAAGAGCAGAAAAUAAUUCUUUGAAAUCGCCAGCUGCUUAUAGUCAAUGGUGUGAUACAAUAAUUACAAAACUUAAUUUGCCACGUCAUAUUAAAUCUGAGCAUUCUCAAGUCAAACCGUAUAAAUAAACACUUGUUCAAUGGAUUUCAAAUAUUUAUCCUCACAGAAAGAACAUAUUUUGGAAUGUCAUACUACAGAUGAAAAAUAAUGUUUAUACUCAAGAUUGUAAAAUAUUAAUAUUUUAAGUCAUUUUUAUCCUUUUUUUUUUUUAAAAAAAUGAUUUAGGUUAUGUUCCAUUUUUUAAUUAUAAUUAUUAAUACUAAAAUACUUAUACAAUAAAUUAUUGAUGGUCUGACUAUACACGAUUUUGUCGCAUCAUUUCAUCAACUGAAAAAUUGAUUAAAUGGAGCAUGUUUAUUUAUGCAUCUCUCAAUCGUGGGUUCGACAUUUUCUAGUGUUUCUAUUCUGAAAACUUUAGCCCUUAUGAGCUCACAUUUGUAUCUACAUAACAUAAUGUUAAGAUGACUCACAAAUGACUGUUGCAUUAGUAAUUUACAUUGUUCGAAUAUGUGUAUAAAUUAUGUAUUGUAUUUAUACAUUUAUAUAAUAAUUAAAAAAUUACUUACUAUUUGUAUUGGUAAUUUUUAAUUAGAAUAAAACUUUUUAUUAUUUAUUAAGUGCAUAACCUGUUUACUUUAAUUGUUGACAGUUUUUAUAUGUAGAUGUCGAAGGAUAUUGAAUAAUUUUGACGAUUACAUAAAGUAUUAAUACCAUUGUUAGUGUAACAAUAGCGUAACAAUAUUUAACUCAAUUUGAUUUUACCUUUUUUAGAUUUAUAUAUAAUUCUAUUUUUCUGUUUAAUUAUUAGGGAAUUUUUCUUUUAUUCUUAUUAUAUAAAAUGAACAAAAAAUUGAAAUUAAGUAUUCACUGUAAAUAACCACACAC
Cinara cedri is the source of this 8573-nucleotide non-coding RNA. The record is from the annotation of a GenBank genome assembly. Lineage: Eukaryota; Metazoa; Arthropoda; Insecta; Hemiptera; Aphididae.